This 497-nucleotide ribosomal RNA is filed under the name uncultured bacterium. Its description in RNAcentral is "partial 16S ribosomal RNA". It matches the Rfam family "Bacterial small subunit ribosomal RNA", at positions 28 to 507 of the family's 1533-position model. The record is from RNAcentral.
GAUGAACGCUGGCGGCGUGCCUAAUACAUGCAAGUCGAGCGAACAGACGAGGAGCUUGCUCCUCUGACGUUAGCGGCGGACGGGUGAGUAACACGUGGAUAACCCACCUAUAAGACUGGGAUAACGUCGGGAAACCGGAGCUAAUACCGGAUAAUAUAUUGAACCGCAUGGUUCAAUAGUGAAAGACGGUUUUGCUGUCACUUAUAGAUGGAUCCGCGCCGCAUUAGCUAGUUGGUAAGGUAACGGCUUACCAAGGCAACGAUGCGUAGCCGACCUGAGAGGGUGAUCGGCCACACUGGAACUGAGACACGGUCCAGACUCCUACGGGAGGCAGCAGUAGGGAAUCUUCCGCAAUGGGCGAAAGCCUGACGGAGCAACGCCGCGUGAGUGAUGAAGGUCUUCGGAUCGUAAAACUCUGUUAUUAGGGAAGAACAAAUGUGUAAGUAACUAUGCACGUCUUGACGGUACCUAAUCAGAAAGCCACGGCUAACUACGUG